GAUGAACGCUGGCGGCGUGCCUAAUACAUGCAAGUCGAGCGAACGGACGAGAAGCUUGCUUCUCUGAUGUUAGCGGCGGACGGGUGAGUAACACGUGGAUAACCUACCUAUAAGACUGGGAUAACUUCGGGAAACCGGAGCUAAUACCGGAUAAUAUUAUGAACCGCAUGGUUCAAAAGUGAAAGACGGUCUUGCUGUCACUUAUAGAUGGAUCCGCGCUGCAUUAGCUAGUUGGUAAGGUAACGGCUUACCAAGGCAACGAUGCAUAGCCGACCUGAGAGGGUGAUCGGCCACACUGGAACUGAGACACGGUCCAGACUCCUACGGGAGGCAGCAGUAGGGAAUCUUUCGCAAUGGGCGAAAGCCUGACGGAGCAACGCCGCGUGAGUGAUGAAGGUCUUCGGAUCGUAAAACUCUGUUAUUAGGGAAGAACAUAUGUGUAAGUAACUGUGCACAUCUUGACGGUACCUAAUCAGAAAGCCACGGCUAACUACGUG
Molecule: ribosomal RNA, 497 nt
Filed under: uncultured bacterium
Lineage: Bacteria
Description: partial 16S ribosomal RNA
Rfam family: Bacterial small subunit ribosomal RNA
Source: RNAcentral